UGGGGAAUAUUGGACAAUGGGCGCAAGCCUGAUCCAGCCAUGCCGCGUGAGUGACGAAGGCCUUAGGGUUGUAAAGCUCUUUUGGCGGGGACGAUAAUGACGGUACCCGCAGAAUAAGCCCCGGCUAACUUCGUGCCAGCAGCCGCGGUAAUACGAAGGGGGCUAGCGUUGUUCGGAAUUACUGGGCGUAAAGCGCACGUAGGCGGAUGUGCCAGUCAGAGGUGAAAUCCCGGAGCUCAACUUCGGAACUGCCUUUGAUACUGGCAAUCUAGAGUCCGGAAGAGGUUAGUGGAAUUCCCAGUGUAGAGGUGAAAUUCGUAGAUAUUGGGAAGAACACCAGUGGCGAAGGCGGCUAACUGGUCCGGUACUGACGCUGAGGUGCGAAAGCGUGGGGAGCAAACAGGAUUAGAUACCCCCGUAGUCCCUGAGCGGGCUGGCAAGGCGCAU
RNAcentral lists this ribosomal RNA (447 nucleotides) under uncultured bacterium. Its description in RNAcentral is "bacterial SSU rRNA". It matches the Rfam family "Bacterial small subunit ribosomal RNA", at positions 355 to 825 of the family's 1533-position model. The record is from RNAcentral.